This 253-nucleotide ribosomal RNA is filed under the name uncultured bacterium. RNAcentral's name for it is "partial 16S ribosomal RNA". It matches the Rfam family "Bacterial small subunit ribosomal RNA", at positions 524 to 776 of the family's 1533-position model. The record is from RNAcentral.
UACGUAGGGUGCAAGCGUUGUCCGGAAUUAUUGGGCGUAAAGAGCUCGUAGGCGGUCUGUCGCGUCGGACGUGAAAAUCCAGGGCUCAACCCUGGACCUGCGUUCGAUACGGGCAGACUAGAGUUCGGUAGGGGAGACUGGAAUUCCUGGUGUAGCGGUGAAAUGCGCAGAUAUCAGGAGGAACACCGGUGGCGAAGGCGGGUCUCUGGGCCGAUACUGACGCUGAGGCGCGAAAGCGUGGGGAGCAAACGGG